UGGGGAAUAUUGCGCAAUGGGGGGAACCCUGACGCAGCCAUGCCGCGUGAAUGAAGAAGGCCUUAGGGUUGUAAAGUUCUUUCGGUAUUGAGGAAGGUUGAUGUGUUAAUAGCACAUCAAAUUGACGUUAAAUACAGAAGAAGCACCGGCUAACUCCGUGCCAGCAGCCGCGGUAAUACGGAGGGUGCGAGCGUUAAUCGGAAUAACUGGGCGUAAAGGGCACGCAGGCGGUUAUUUAAGUGAGGUGUGAAAGCCCCGGGCUUAACCUGGGAAUUGCAUUUCAGACUGGGUAACUAGAGUACUUUAGGGAGGGGUAGAAUUCCACAUGUAGCGGUGAAAUGCGUAGAGAUGUGGAGGAAUACCGAAGGCGAAGGCAGCCCCUUGGGAAUGUACUGACGCUCAUGUGCGAAAGCGUGGGGAGCAAACAGGAUUAGAUACCCUGGUAGUCCACGCUGUAAACGCUGUCGAUUUGGGGGUUGGGGUUUAACUCUGGCGCCCGUAGCUAACGUGAUAAAUCGACCGCCUGGGGAGUACGGCCGCAAGGUUA
Molecule: ribosomal RNA, 547 nt
Filed under: uncultured bacterium
Lineage: Bacteria
Description: bacterial SSU rRNA
Rfam family: Bacterial small subunit ribosomal RNA
Source: RNAcentral